Boleophthalmus pectinirostris (great blue-spotted mudskipper) is the source of this 292-nucleotide long non-coding RNA. RefSeq lists it as uncharacterized. The record is from RefSeq and is a predicted model, not a curated record. Lineage: Eukaryota; Metazoa; Chordata; Actinopteri; Gobiiformes; Gobiidae. The transcript is spliced from 3 exons.
CUGUAGUAUCAGUGAAGUACUUUGGGAUAUUCCAGUACUCGGAUCAGGAGUACUGCGACUCCGGGUACUCUUACAGCGAGGACAGGUGCAUGAGCGACUGCUUCGCGUUUGCAGAUGAUGACAUCACUGAUGACGUGGAGUGCUUCGUCCAGAGCCUCUUCUGGGAUGUGUACAGAGGAGCAGUGCAGUCCUGCAAAUCCAAAAAGACCCUGGACUCCUUUUUUGAGGCCUGUGAUGCUGGAGAAGAGCCUGGGUCUGGAGAACAUCUGGGUGUCUGGUUCUCCAUCUCCAC